CUGCCGUCCAGGAGGACGUUCCCGAGCGGGCCGCUGCCGUCCAGGAGGACGUUCCCGAGCGGGCCGCUGCCGUCCAGGAGGACGUUCCCGAGCGGGCCGCUGCCGUCCAGGUGGACGUGCCCGAGGUUCCCGAGGCGGGGCUCGAGGUGGUUCGGGAUGCCGAGGCGGUGCCCGAGGCUGUGCCCGAUGCCGAGGCGGUGCCUGAUGCGGUGGCCGAGGCGGUUCCCGAUGCAAUGUCCGAUGCCGAGGCGGUGCCCGUUGCCGAGGCGGUGCCCGAUGCGGUGGCCGAGGUGGUUCCCGAUGCAAUGUCCGAUGCAGUGGCGGUGCCCGAUGCCGAGGCGGUGCCCGAUGCCGAGGCGGUGCCCGAGGCGGUGCCCGAUGCCGAGGCGGUGCCCGAUGCGGUGCCGCAGACGGUGCCAGAGACGGUUCCCGAUGUAAUGCCCGAGACCGAGGCUGUUCCGGAGGUCGAGGCGGUGCCCGAUGUUGUUCCCGAUGCCGAGGCGGUGCCCGAUGCUGUUCCGCAGGUCGAGGCGGUGGCCAAUGCCGUUCCGCAGGUCGAGGCGGUGCCCGAGUUGGUUCCAGAGACCGAGGCGGUGCCCGAGGUGGUGCCCGAUGCGCAGGCCGAGGUCGUUCCCGAGGCGGUGCCCGAUGCGCAGGCCGAGGUCGCUCCUGAGGCGGUGGCCGAUGCGCAGGCCGAGGUCGUUCCUGAGGUGGUGCCCGAUGCAGAGAUCGUUCCCGAGGCGGUGUCCUUGUCCAAGGCCGUUCCCGAGGCCGUGCCCGAGGCCGUUCCCGAGGCGGGGGCCUUGUCCAAUGUCGUUCCUGAGGCCGUUCCUGAGGUCGUUCCUGAGACCGUUCCCGAGGCGGUGUCCUGGUCCGAUGCCGUUCCUGAGGCCGUUCCUGAGGCCAUUCCAGAGGCGGUGGCCGAUGCUGUUCCGGAGGCCGAUGCGGGGCCCAGGAUGGCUCCGGAGGCGAUACCCGUGUCCAAGGCCGUUCCCGAGGCGGUGCCCUUGUCUGAGGUCGUUCCUGAUGCCGUUCCCAAUGCCGUGACCGGGCCAUCGCCACAGCCUGCUCCUUACUGGCUCCCCGAUUGGCAGGUUCCGUUCGGGCCACUCAAAUGGCGAAUUCCUCCCUGGCCGUCUGCACAACGAGAAUGGACUGAUCCACCGUGGCCACCUGAACUGCCUGGCCCCUCGUGGUCCCCUGAACUUUCGGGUCCACCGUGGCCACCUGAACUGCCUGGUCCCUCGUGGUCCCCUGAACUUUCGGGUCCACCGUGGCCACCUGAACUGCCUGGUCCCUCGUGGUCCCCUGAACUUUCGGGUCCAC
Molecule: long non-coding RNA, 1326 nt
Organism: Cyprinus carpio carpio
Lineage: Eukaryota; Metazoa; Chordata; Actinopteri; Cypriniformes; Cyprinidae
Source: Ensembl